AAAUUGUAUUUACAAUAUGCUCUUGGAGACAUUGAUGAAGUAAAAAAACUGAAGCAAAAAUUUAAAGAACGAAGAAGUGUGGUGCAAAGAAAUUUGGAACAUCUAAUAUUAACUUUUCCACCCAAACAAAUGUAUGCUUUGAGCAACAAAAGGAGAAAAAGGAAGCCAUACCACAAUUCAUAGCUCUAUUUUUCUUUAUCUCUGGUAAAAUUUAAAGACUUUAGCAACGAUGAAUUAAGGUAUCUUGGAAUUUUGACGCAUGAUCUACAUCCUGCCACCAUUUAAACAUAAAAUGCUCACAAAUAAGUUUGAACCAUGGUGUGAAUCCAUAUUGAGGAUCGGAAAACAUCUCUUUUAACUCUUCCAUAGUAACAUACUUAUAGGCUUGAACUUCAUUGGGAUUGAUAUCCAGCUCAACUUUACCUUUGAAGAAAAGAAUGUAGUCAACUAGAAUGUCCGUUAGUCAAGUGUUCAAUAAAGAGAAACACGGAUCAACCACAUACUUUCAUGCUCUCCCCAAGCACCAGUACUAGGAGCAAGGUAAUGGAUUCGUGUAAGAAACUGAAAUUUGUCUUUGGGAAUAUACUUGGCUUGAAUACCCAAUUCAUGGAACAGCUUGCGUUGAGCUGCAUUCUUAACACCUUCAACAGCUUCAGGUAAAGUAUUACCACGUUCACCAGCAACAUCCAAUGGGUGGGAGCAACAUGUAUUCGUCCAUAAGGAUGGAAAUGUAAUUUUCUCUUCUGCACGCU
Molecule: non-coding RNA, 752 nt
Organism: Schizosaccharomyces pombe (fission yeast)
Lineage: Eukaryota; Fungi; Ascomycota; Schizosaccharomycetes; Schizosaccharomycetales; Schizosaccharomycetaceae
Source: the annotation of a GenBank genome assembly